Molecule: ribosomal RNA, 327 nt
Filed under: uncultured eukaryote
Lineage: Eukaryota
Description: partial 18S ribosomal RNA
Rfam family: Eukaryotic small subunit ribosomal RNA
Source: RNAcentral
CCCUUAGAUGUUCUGGGCCGCACACGCGCUACACUGAAGGAGGCAGCGUGUACUCCUGGAUCGAAAGAUUUGGGUAACCCGCGAAUCUCCUUCGUGCUAGGGAUUGAGGUUUGCAAUUAUCAUUCAUGAACGAGGAAUUCCCAGUAAGUGCAAGUCAUAAGCUUGCGCUGACUACGUCCCUGCCCUUUGUACACACCGCCCGUCGCUACUACCGAUUGAAUGAUUUAGUGAGGACUUCGGACUGGGACCGAUGCGGCUUUCGGGCUGCGUCGGUAUUCUGGAAAGAUGUCCAAACUGUAUCAUUUAGAGGAAGUAAAAGUCGUAACA